RNAcentral lists this transfer RNA (68 nucleotides) under Solea senegalensis (Senegalese sole). RNAcentral describes it as "tRNA-Ser(GCT)". RNAcentral also lists the same sequence under 1 other name. Lineage: Eukaryota; Metazoa; Chordata; Actinopteri; Pleuronectiformes; Soleidae. The record is from RNAcentral.
GAGAGAGGCUCGACAGCAAUGACAACUGCUAACUUUCAUCUCCUUGGUUAGACCCCAGGGCUCCCUCA